UGCUCGCCGUAAACUUUUACUUACACCUAAUCGCCAGGGAACUCGAGCCAGCUAAAACCCAAAGGACUUGACGGUACCCCAUAUCCCCCUAGAGGAGCCUGUCCUAUAAUCGAUAAUCCACGUUUAACCUCACCAUUUUUAGUUAAUCAGCCUGUAUACCUCCGUCGUCAGCUUACCACGUGAGCGUCAAUUAGUGAGCCUAAUGUUAUUUCACCAAUACGUCAGGUCAAGGUGCAGCAAAUGAAAUGGGAAGAGAUGGGCUACACUUUCUAUUUUAGAAGAUACGAAAAACUACCUAUGAAAACUAGUUAGAAGGCGGAUUUAGUAGUAAAAAGGAAUCAGCAUGUCCAUUUUAACCUGGCACUGGGGUGUGUACACACCGCCCGUCA
Molecule: ribosomal RNA, 389 nt
Filed under: Bufo sp. 49 YSS-2007
Lineage: Eukaryota; Metazoa; Chordata; Amphibia; Anura; Bufonidae
Description: partial 12S ribosomal RNA
Rfam family: Bacterial small subunit ribosomal RNA
Source: RNAcentral